UGGGGAAUAUUGGACAAUGGGCGAAAGCCUGAUCCAGCCAUGCCGCGUGUGUGAAGAAGGUCUUCGGAUUGUAAAGCACUUUAAGUUGGGAGGAAGGGCAUUAACCUAAUACGUUAGUGUUUUGACGUUACCGACAGAAUAAGCACCGGCUAACUCUGUGCCAGCAGCCGCGGUAAUACAGAGGGUGCAAGCGUUAAUCGGAAUUACUGGGCGUAAAGCGCGCGUAGGUGGUUUGUUAAAUUGGAUGUGAAAUCCCCGGGCUCAACCUGGGAACUGCAUUCAAAACUGACUGACUAGAGUAUGGUAGAGGGUGGUGGAAUUUCCUGUGUAGCGGUGAAAUGCGUAGAUAUAGGAAGGAACACCAGUGGCGAAGGCGACCACCUGGACUAAUACUGACACUGAGGUGCGAAAGCGUGGGGAGCAAACA
RNAcentral lists this ribosomal RNA (427 nucleotides) under uncultured bacterium. RNAcentral describes it as "partial 16S ribosomal RNA". It matches the Rfam family "Bacterial small subunit ribosomal RNA", at positions 355 to 774 of the family's 1533-position model. The record is from RNAcentral.